CCGCAUCCGCGUAUUAGGAAACAGCCCCAUCGUUGCGACCCCCUUCCCCUUUUCUCUCGCGCUGCGAUCCCCUCCCGCAGCAAGCGCUUUUCUCGGUCGCGCGAUCCCCUCCGAUCAGCAUCAAGCGCUCUUCUCGAUCGCGCCCCGAUUCCCUUUCUGAUCGCGAGCGCUGCCACGAGCGCCGUCGCGUCCGCCGCCACGAGCUCACCGGUGGCCGCGUCCGCUCAAACCCUGGUCUCGAGCACCGUCGCGACCGCCGCCGCGAGCUCACCGAUGGCUGCGCAUCGCGAUCCCAUCCUGCCCAACGCCGCAAAAGCGCUCGCCGGUGGCCGCGCGCGCCCGCUUUCUGAGCUCGCCGGUCAUGCUCAUGCCGCCGCCCUCCGCUGUCCCGCAUCCCGCUGCCUCGCGCUGCCACCCAGGGGCGGAUCUACCAAUCUAGCAUGGUCUGGCGGCCGCCACACCUUCCGCCAGCGAGAACCCCCUGCAUCCCUUCUAGCCGAGCGGCAUGCCGACGUCUCCCUUAUGCGCGCCACACCUCACAAGUAUGCUACGCGGAGCUGAGGCCCAGCGGAAGGCAUUUUCUGAUGGAAAGCUACUGCAAUUCUGCUGUAGCAAAGAAAAGAGAUCUGUUUCGUGCAUUGUUAUGAGCAUUGUUGUUCCCCAACCGAGUGCAGUGGAGAACCUAGAGAUAUCUCUGAAGCAUAUCCCGUCAAGAAAGAAUAAAACGUUACCUGAUCAACUCUUUGAUCUCAAAAGUAAGAGAUAAUAGUUAUGUUUUGCAGGAACAGGAAUUGCAUGAUCCCAAUAAAGACCUAAGGAAAAAGGACUCCUUGACCAUCCGAGCAAUGAUCCUUCGCUGCAGAUCGGGGUAAGUUUUUCCAGGUGAUAAAUAGCUAAGAUAGUGAAAAAUAGAGAGAGAGAGAGAGAAAACAAAAUUAUAUAAGCAUAUCCACGAAGCCACGCACAACUGUUAUAUGAACACUGAACUAAAGCAAUUACAGUCAGAGUCGGCUCGCAUGGAUGAGGCCAUGACACCAUCACAAUUUCCUAUAAAGAAACAUAAUCCUAGCACUGCACAUUCAGAAAAUCAAAACUGAAAUUUUAAAUUUUAAAUGUGCACAUCCUUCUAAAACUUAUUCCUUAAUAAUAUGACACGCCAGCACAUUCAGAAGAUCUUGCAUUUCUCUAUAGCUAUUUUCAUAUUCCAAUCACAUUCUUUGCGGCCCUUCUCAUGAAUAAUAGUGCAAGAGCCUUUCUUUUGGUACGAAUAGUCUAAAUUUUAGUAGAUGUACAUAAAGGUAGUUGGUUUGAGCUUUGGAUCAACUUCUUCAUUGUGCUAAUCUGCAAGUACAUUGGGAAUCAGACAUUGUGCUCUGUAGCUGGACGGUGCACAACAGGUUUGUAAACUUGGUGCGCAACAGGUGUGUAAACUUAUGCCUACUAACUUUGAUCUCUUUCAAAGAUUAUCAAUAGUACAUGUGCACACCAAUGUCCUUUACUGGAUCCUGCCUGUAGUUAUGUGUGCUUUCAUCUGAUCCAAUUUCAAGUGUAUUAUGCCUAUUAGCUUUGGUCCCUUUAAUGCCUGCCGUUCUUUGUGCCUGAAUCUGUGAAUGGAGUGCUUCAAUGACCUUCAACCUUUUCGAAUUACAUCCCUCUCCCCUCUUAAAGCUAAUGGUCCCAUUAAAAUCCAAGUUAUGUUUCAUACAUCGUUUAGUAAGAAUGGGCCCGAUCCUUAGUUGUUGGAGAAGAAACGAUAGUGAUGAACAACUAUCAAUUUACCUAAACAUAUUUCUUGGUUUUUUAGCGAAUCUUAAUUUUCCAUGGCCUUUAGUACACAUUGUGGCCUUAAAAAACAUUAACAAGCACGUGCAGCCACUAUUAGAUCUUUAGUUUUAUCUAUGAUUAGUCUUAUGUAAUUUCACUACACUUCCAUAUAAUGCUUAAUCGCAAAACUUAGUUGAAUAUUUUGGGGGAUUUUGAAUUUUGAAUUUGUGUUGUCUUUGAACAAUAAGGAAUCAGUAUGUAGUGUAGAUCAAGUUGGUUUCCAGAGGCUAUAAAGGCAGAAGAUGGAUAUAUUGUGUACUAGGUCGCAAAAGAUUGUUCCAAUAAAGUGAAAUCUCUAUUCACUUUUGUUAUCUGUCAGCGGUUUAGUCAAUGAUGCCUGGAUAGUAAAGUAAAUACAUGAUGCAAUCGUUGCAAGAUCAACUACACAAGAAAAUAGUCGACAUUAUUUUUUUAUCUAAACAAAUAGACAUACUAGAGAAUUUUAUGCUUCUUCUAAGACCAAUUAUGUGAAUCUAUUUUGUUAUGGUUCCUAUAGGAGUGUCAGGAGCAUAAUAGUGGAUAUGGUUUUCAGCCCUCACCGUGCAUUUUUCUUGCGAGUGGUUGAUAUGAACUAAACUUCAUAAAUUAUUUUUUCUCUUUCUGUGUGCAGGAUGAGAUGGAAACCUUCACCACCCUAAGUGUCAACAAGACGAAGGACGCUAACACAUCAUAGUAUAGUUGCUAAGACAUCAUAGUAUAGUUGCUAAUAUAUCUGUUGUAUUCUACCGUUUGAUGAGCAAAGCACACAUAUAUUUUUUUAUAUUGCACACUUCUCAACUUUAGCAGUUUUCAUGUAUUUAAAGAUGUGGGCUUCUCUUUGUGAAAGUUUUCAUAUAUAUUGCACAUUUCUUAAUAUUGGUUGUUUCUAUGUAUUUAAACAUGUGGUCCUUGAAUC
RNA transcript from Sorghum bicolor (sorghum), 2719 nucleotides. RefSeq lists it as uncharacterized. Lineage: Eukaryota; Viridiplantae; Streptophyta; Magnoliopsida; Poales; Poaceae. The record is from RefSeq and is a predicted model, not a curated record. The transcript has 5 exons.